UCUAUGCAAAUUCAGACCUCAGAUUUCCCAUGAUCUCAUAGCCCCUGCACCCUUGUGACCCUACCAUGCACUCUUGGCUACAGGUGACAGAACUGAAGGGCCUGGCCAACCAUGUGGUUGUGGGCAGUGUCUCCUGUGAGACCAAGGACCUGUUUGCCGCCCUGCCCCAGGUUGUGGCUGUGGAUAUCAAUGACCUUGGUACCAUCAAGCUCAGCCUGGAAGUCACAUGGAGGUUGGUGGGGCUGAGAGGCUUGGAGGAGGGCCAGGAGGGCUGUGGCACCUGCCAACAGCCUCUUCCCUUCCCAGCCCCUUCGACAAGGAUGACCAGCCCUCAGCUGCUUCUUCUGUCAACAAGGCCUCCACAGUCACCAAGCGCUUCUCCACCUAUAGCCAGAGCCCACCGGACACACCCUCACUUCGAGAACAGGCUUUCUAUAACAUGCUGCGACGGCAGGAGGAGCUGGAGAAUGGGACAGCAUGGUCCCUGUCAUCCGAAUCUUCAGACGACUCAUCCAGCCCACAGCUCUCAGGCACUGCCCGCCACUCAUCAGCCCCUAGGCCCCUGGUGCAGCAGCCCGAGCCCCUUCCCAUCCAAGUUGCCUUCCGCAGGCCUGAGACCCUCAGCUCUGGGCCCUUGGAUGAGGAGGGGGCCGUGGCCCCAGUCCUGGCAAAUGGGCAUGCACCCUACAGUCGGACUCUGAGCCACAUCAGUGAGGCUAGUGUAGACGCUGCCUUGGCUGAGGCUUCAGUGGAGGCCGUUGGCCCAGAAAGCCUAGCCUGGGGACCUAGCCCACCUACACACCCAGCUCCCACCCAUGGAGAGCACCCCAGUCCUGUUCCUCCUGCCCUGGACCCUGGCCACUCUGCCACAAGCUCCACCCUCGGUACAACAGGCUCUGUCCCCACAUCUACAGACCCUGCCCCAUCUGCACACCUAGACUCAGUUCAUAAGUCCACAGACUCUGGCCCUUCAGAACUGCCAGGCCCCACUCACACCACUACAGGCUCUACCUAUAGUGCCAUUACCACUACCCACAGUGCUCCAAGCCCCCUCACUCACACUACUACAGGCUCCACCCACAAGCCCAUAAUCUCUACCCUUACUACUACAGGCCCUACCCUCAAUAUCAUAGGCCCAGUCCAGACUACCACAAGCCCCACCCACACUAUGCCAAGCCCUACCCAUACCACAGCAAGCCCCACUCAUACUUCCACAAGCCCCACCCAUACCCCCACAAGCCCCACCCACACCCCCACAAGCCCCACCCAUACCCCCACAAGUCCCACCCACAAAACCAGUAUGUCACCUCCCACCACUACAAGUCCUACCCCCAGUGGUAUGGGCCUAGUCCAGACUGCCACAAGUCCCACCCAUCCUACCACAAGCCCCACCCAUCCCACCACAAGCCCCAUCCUUAUAAAUGUAAGCCCUUCCACUUCUCUAGAACUUGCUACCCUCUCCAGCCCCUCCAAACACUCAGACCCCACCCUCCCAGGCACUGACUCCCUUCCCUGUAGUCCCCCAGUCUCCAAUUCCUACACUCAGGCAGACCCUAUGGCCCCCAGAACUCCCCACCCAAGUCUUGCCCAUUCCAGUAGGAAACCCCUCACAAGCCCUGCCCCAGAUCCCCCAGAGUCUACGGUUCAGAGUCUAAGCCCCACUCCCUCACCCCCAACCCCUGCACCCCAGCAUUCAGACCUUAGCCUGGCCAUGGCUGUCCAGACCCCAGUCCCAACGGCAGCCAGAGGGUCUGGGGACAGGAGCCUGGAGGAGGCACUGGGGGCCCUAAUGGCUGCCCUGGAUGACUACCGUGGCCAGUUUCCUGAGCUGCAGGGCCUGGAGCAGGAGGUGACCCGCCUAGAGAGUCUGCUCAUGAGACAAGGUCUGACUCGCAGCCGGGCCUCCAGUCUCAGCAUCACUGUGGAGCAUGCCUUGGAGAGCUUCAGCUUCCUCAAUGAAGACGAAGAUGAAGACAAUGAUGUUCCUGGGGACAGGCCUCCAAGCAGCCCGGAGGCUGGGGCUGAGGACAGCAUAGACUCACCCAGUGCCCGCCCCCUCAGCACGGGGUGUCCAGCUCUGGAUGCUGCCUUGGUCCGGCACCUGUACCACUGCAGUCGCCUCCUGCUGAAACUGGGCACAUUUGGGCCCCUGCGCUGCCAGGAGGCGUGGGCCCUGGAGCGGCUGCUGCGGGAAGCCCGAGUACUGGAGGCAAUAUGCGAGUUCAGCAGGCGGUGGGAGAUCCCGGCCAGCUCUGCCCAGGAAGUGGUGCAGUUCUCGGCCUCUCGGCCUGGCUUCCUGACCUUCUGGGACCAGUGCACAGAGAGACUCAGCUGCUUCCUCUGCCCGGUGGAGCGGGUGCUUCUCACCUUCUGCAACCAGUAUGGUGCCCGCCUCUCCCUGCGCCAGCCAGGCUUGGCUGAGGCUGUGUGUGUGAAGUUCCUGGAGGAUGCCCUGGGGCAGAAGCUGCCCAGAAGGCCCCAGCCAGGGCCUGGAGAGCAGCUCACGGUCUUCCAGUUCUGGAGUUUUGUGGAAACCUUGGACAGCCCCACCAUGGAGGCCUACGUGACCGAGACCGCUGAGGAGGUGCUACUGGUGCGGAAUCUGAACUCGGAUGAUCAGGCUGUUGUGCUGAAGGCCCUGAGAUUGGCGCCCGAGGGGCGUCUGCGAAGGGACGGGCUGCGGGCCCUCAGCUCCCUGCUCGUCCAUGGCAACAACAAGGUCAUGGCUGCUGUCAGCACCCAGCUCCGGAGCCUGUCACUGGGCCCUACCUUCCGGGAGAGGGCCCUCCUGUGCUUCCUGGACCAGCUGGAGGAUGAGGACGUGCAGACUCGAGUGGCUGGCUGCCUGGCCCUAGGCUGCAUCAAGGUGACCCCUGCCAACCCUCCCACCCCUCUGUCCGCUUCCGGCACCCCCACCCCUGAAACCCUCCCAUCUGCUCCCCCGAGCCCACCUCAAUGCUCCCUCCCCUGACAGGCUCCCGAGGGCAUUGAGCCCCUGGUGUACCUCUGCCAAACUGACACAGAAGCUGUGAGGGAAGCUGCCCGGCAAAGCCUACAGCAGUGUGGAGAAGAGGGACAGUCUGCCCAUCGACGGCUGGAGGAGUCCCUGGACGCCCUGCCCCGCAUCUUUGGGCCUGGCAGCAUGGCCAGCACAGCAUUCUAAACUAUUCACCCAUGGGUUCCUGGUGCCCCUUUCCCCCCACUUUCAGGGCUCACCAGGCACUGGCAGGGAGGGUAAGGGCUGGCUCCAGAUACCCCUCCCCCACAGAUUCCUAGCAAUGAAAAUCUAAUAUAUUCUUCUGUUGCCCCUGGGGUUGGAGAAUCAGUGCCUGAAGUCAAGUGCCUCCCAGCCUCGGCUCAGCACAUCCCUUGCCACAAAUCAGUGUCUGGGGCUUGGCCACCCUGCCACUGCCCAGCCACAUCCCUUGGUUUUGUAUUUUAUUUACAGAGUUUUACAGAAAAUAAAAAAGCAAAAUGUCUUUCCUA
This 3486-nucleotide small RNA is filed under the name Pan troglodytes (chimpanzee). RNAcentral's name for it is "retained intron". The record is from RNAcentral. Lineage: Eukaryota; Metazoa; Chordata; Mammalia; Primates; Hominidae.